RNAcentral lists this transfer RNA (75 nucleotides) under bacterium. RNAcentral's name for it is "tRNA-Val". It matches the Rfam family "tRNA". Rfam says of the family: Transfer RNA (tRNA) molecules are approximately 80 nucleotides in length. Their secondary structure includes four short double-helical elements and three loops (D, anti-codon, and T loops). Further hydrogen bonds mediate the characteristic L-shaped molecular structure. tRNAs have two regions of fundamental functional importance: the anti-codon, which is responsible for specific mRNA codon recognition, and the 3' end, to which the tRNAs corresponding amino acid is attached (by aminoacyl-tRNA synthetases). tRNAs cope with the degeneracy of the genetic code in two manners: having more than one tRNA (with a specific anti-codon) for a particular amino acid; and 'wobble' base-pairing, i.e. permitting non-standard base-pairing at the 3rd anti-codon position. The record is from RNAcentral. RNAcentral also lists the same sequence under 2 other names.
GGGUGUUUAGCUCAGGGGGAGAGCGCUUCCUUCACACGGAAGAGGCCACUGGUUCGAUCCCAGUAACACCCACCA